RNAcentral lists this ribosomal RNA (478 nucleotides) under uncultured bacterium. RNAcentral's name for it is "partial 16S ribosomal RNA". It matches the Rfam family "Bacterial small subunit ribosomal RNA", at positions 28 to 523 of the family's 1533-position model. The record is from RNAcentral.
GACGAACGCUGGCGGCGUGCUUAACACAUGCAAGUCGAACGGUAAGGCCCUUCGGGGUACACGAGUGGCGAACGGGUGAGUAACACGUGGGUGAUCUGCCCUGCACUUCGGGAUAAGCCUGGGAAACUGGGUCUAAUACCGGAUAGGACCACUGCCUGCAUGGGUGGUGGUGGAAAGCUUUUGCGGUGUGGGAUGGGCCCGCGGCCUAUCAGCUUGUUGGUGGGGUGAUGGCCUACCAAGGCGACGACGGGUAGCCGGCCUGAGAGGGUGACCGGCCACACUGGGACUGAGAUACGGCCCAGACUCCUACGGGAGGCAGCAGUGGGGAAUAUUGCACAAUGGGCGCAAGCCUGAUGCAGCGACGCCGCGUGAGGGAUGACGGCCUUCGGGGUGAAAACCUCUUUCAGCACCGACGAAGCGCAAGUGACGGUAGGUGCAGAAGAAGGACCGGCCAACUACGUGCCAGCCGCCGCGGUAA